AGCAGCCGCGGUAAUUCCAGCUCCAAUAGCGUAUAUUAAAGUUGUUGUGGUUAAAAAGCUCGUAGUUGAACCUUGGGCCUGGCUGGCCGGUCCGCCUCACCGCGUGCACUGGUUCGGCCGGGCCUUUCCCUCUGGGGAGCCCUAUGCCCUUCACUGGGUGUAGUGGGGAACCAGGACUUUUACUGUGAAAAAAU
RNAcentral lists this ribosomal RNA (194 nucleotides) under uncultured Glomeromycotina. RNAcentral describes it as "partial 18S ribosomal RNA". It matches the Rfam family "Eukaryotic small subunit ribosomal RNA", at positions 569 to 766 of the family's 1831-position model. The record is from RNAcentral. Lineage: Eukaryota; Fungi; Glomeromycota.